UCUGAACGAAGUGUGCAGCUAGCGGAGUCUGUGUUACGGCUUCUAAGUACGGAUGGAGAACUAACCAGCAACCAAGAUGGUCAGCCCAGUCUUCAGCUUAAUAGAUUUUGAAGUAAAUUAAUCAGAGAAAAGUGUCAUCCUGUGUUGUGAUAAAUCCAGUCAGUGCUCAUUUAUGUGUGAUUUUCAAGAGUCCCCGAAGUCAGGUUUUGCUCCCCAAGGAGGGUUGCCUCAUGCUGCAUCUUAAUUUGAACCGCGCAGGUGUGAUCCGCUGUAGCGUUAGUGGCUUUGACGUCAUUAGUUCGUAACUGGGUGAGGGGUGUGAAGAAAUCUGGGUUAGACUUAUGACAGAAAUAGACAAGUUAUAUAUAAUCAAUACUGGCAGGUGUUUCAAAAAUCCUCUUAAAAAUCUAAGUCGCUGUGACUUUUGUCCUGUACCAGCCAGAGGAAGUAAAUGGGUGGAGUAGGAGGUGAGGCGAGGUGGUGAGUUUGUCUCAGGCCCUCCCCACUUAAGACCACUCUAACCUCAGCAGGAGUGGCGGGGCCACAUUUUGACGUUCCUGGGCCCCUUCCUCCAUAAAAAUAUAUUUAAAAGUAUGUUUUAUGAUAGCGUUGGCAUAAAGACGCAUAUAAUCCAGACUGGAUUCAUUCAUUCUUAUCAUAUUCAUUUUUUCCUUCUGACCUUAAAAGAAAUUAAAUCAAAACAUUUUCCUGGGUCCUUAUAAGUCCUGUGGGCUCUAGGCACUUCUCCUGCCAGAUUUGUGGGCCCUGGGAGUUAGACUGGCUCCUUCAGGAAAGACAAAGAGCUCUUUCGUGGCUCCAGGAGAGUUUGUGGCUUCCAGUUGUUGAGAAACUUUGGUGCAAAAUAAAGGGAAAGGUGAGUUUCCAGGAGGAGUUUCCUCCUGUCCCUUUUGGUCAUGCGGUAGGGAGGAAUAUGAAAGAUUUCCCGGACAGCAGUAAGGUGAGAAGUGGGAUGAAAAGUAAAGACUUGCCUGGGGAGGAGAGAAAGAAUUAGGGGCUCUGGAGGGUCAUUCAAGGCCAAAAUGGGGCCCACCUUAAAGGGGUCAAAAAACAGUACUUACUGACCACCUAGCUGUUGGGACUACGGAGGGCUCGUCCCAUACCAGGGAGUACGUACCUAUUGCUUUCAUGUUAGACUUCAACUCGGGGCUGUCUUACACAGAGGCCUAGCCAGAAAGGACCUGCCAGCCCUUGGACUAUUGCAAAGAGUAGGCUAGGCUAUUGGGCAAAAUUGGUAGGCGGCAAAAACAAGCAAGCAAACCAAAAAAAGGGCCGACUUACAUGUGAUGCUAUGCUGAGCUAUAUUCUAUGAUGGAAUACAAUGCUUUUUACUUGUUUCUCUGUAUUUUCUGUUUACCAUAAAUUCCUCAUGACGGUGAUAGGAGCCAACAUGCUGAGUGCUUCGGACAUGUCAAGCACUGUGCCAAGAGGAAAAACUGCUCUGACAGUAAAGAAGAAACCUUAGAGAUGAAAACCUGAGUAGAAGAAAAUUCUCAGGGCAGCCUCGGCCAUGUUGGAUCUCGUGAGAAGGAAAGCACAACGUUGGAGAAGGCAGCCAGUCGCCCAAACCCUCCCUCAGCCCAGGAGCAGUGGAGCAAAACAUGUGACUUUGAGGGCAGAGCUGGCUGCAGGGCAUUUCUGCCCAUCACCUCUGUGAACUCAACUUUCUUCCUUUAAGACCUGCUUUUGUAGUUCUGGAUCAGCUGGUUGAGUCAAGACAUCUGGAAAAGCCAGUCCAGUCCAAGCUGAGCCAGCCUGAAGCUCGACGAUGGCGUCCAGGAAGUUGGCAGCUCAGCGGACUCGCAACUUGGUUUUGUGAAAGAAGUGCAACAAAACAGUAACCCCAUAACCUAGGACAUCAAUGAGCCAAUACUCUCUCAUUAGAAGUGAAGACAAGAAAAUUUGCUGUGUGAGCGUAUUCUUUUUUCCCUCUCUGUGCAUAGACCUGACGUCACCACUGGGAAGCCCUGGGCUGGGUGUGUGCUCAGGUGACUCAUGCGGAAGGACACACCUCUCUGGGGAGCAUCACCUUUCUCAGGAAGGAAAAGUCCCCAACAUCAGGCUUUCAGGACACUCACCAGGACUUUUCUGGAAUAAAUCGAGUUACUGAUAGGUGAGUCCACACUGGUGGAACAAGUCAGAGUUCUCCAGAAGUAUCUGUGACAACUGGUUAGAAGUGUGAUAGACCUCCAUGUUAAGUAAUUGAGAAUCUCAUUGUGCCUGUUCACUGGUGGGGUGCACCUGCAAUGGGCCGAGCACAGAUGAGGACCUCAGUGAAGGAGAUUCUAGGAGGUGCCACAAGUGCACUUGGGUUCCUUCAAAUGCCAUGAAGGCAAAAGCCUUGUCUGUCUUGUUCACCUUGGUGUUCUCAGUACCUGUAGUAGUUGCUCAAUAAACCCGUGUUGGAUGAAUGAAUUGAUUGCCUUUGAUGGACUGCAUAUGGUGCUAGAGGUGUGAGUUGACUAAGUGCGGUAUGGUAUGAGUUGACUAAAGAUAUGAGUUGGCUAAGAUGUGGAUGUUGUCCUUGAAGAGUUCUCAGGCUAUUAUGUAAGGCAAAUAGUUGGGAAAAAAAACAACACAAAAUUUAGUAACAGAUGUAUGAAAAGGUCCUAAGGAAGCUCCAAGGAGGGAGCUAAUUUUGUGUUGGAGAGCAUGCAGGUCAAUCACGGCUUCAUGGAGGAGGCAAACUUGACAGGGACACGUGAAAGAUUGAGAACCAUGUAGAAGACCGAGAAACAUUAACCAGUCAGAAAGACUUUGUGCUUCACCAAAGGAGUGGGAGAUGAGCUGGCUCUUGAAGGAUGUGAAGGGGAUGGAUACUGAUGGGAGAGAAGAACAAUGCAAGCAUGAUUUCUAUUGCUGAGGAACUCACUGUGUAAACGGGGCGGGGAGGUCAGGGCAAAUCUCUGUGAAGGGGCAUUAGAAAGCAUGCAUUGCAGGAUGUUACACUGGGGCCAUUCCUGCCUAUUUUGACUGAGACACCAACAUGAUAGUUAUCAGCUAACAAAGGGAGUAUGAAACAGAACCCAUCACCUUCCCACCCUCUGCAGAUUUACAGAAAAAUAACCCUGAGGACAUGUCUCAUGUCUCUCAGCCGCUUCAACCAGAUCAAGGAAUUUUCAGGGCAAGGAUGCCUUAACACUUGCCCCAUUUCCCAUGGACUAGAUAAAGGCCACUCAGGAGAGAGAUGAGGUGGAGUCGUCUCCAAUAGGAGAGGUCCUCUGUCAAGAGGAGAGGAGAAACUGCACCGAAAAGGGCCAGAGGUGCGUUGCUCAAUGCCCAGGGGAUGAAGGAAGAGCUGUAAGAGGCUACCAAAAAUAGAGAUGUCUUUACCAAGUCAAUGGGGACUAGCAAGAGACUCAUGAAGAACUGCAAAGGCACUUAAUGAGGCCAAGAGUUCUUCUACCUGGGGACACCAGCGCUAGCCAUGUGCCAGACCCAGAGAGCACAAAGCCAUUCAGCCAAGUAAGUAUUAUCCUAUCCCCCAUCCCUCCCCUGCCUCCUCUCUUCCAGGUCUGACAGUGAGGGAGGCGGGGGGGAGUGUGAUAGGAAGAGGAGAGCUGAAGUGUCAAACCUCCUUCCACACUCUGGGCUUCCAGCCUGAGGCAGACCCAAGGACAGAGGAUUCAACACUAAGCUGAGUUCAGCCUCUUGAUUAUUACAUGGGACUGGACAUUAUUACUACCAAAGUGAGAAUGUCUUUGUGGCUCAAAGUGACUCCAAUGCUGUUUAUGACCUAGAAGUGAGCAGAAAAGACACAACACCUGCUAGAGUUUUUAUCCAGGGGCAGGGAAGUUUAACCCACUGAGGAAACCAUUAAGGGACCAUGGGAGACAAAAACAGUUCUGGGUACAUCACGAAUCAUACUUAUUCAACCUGCCUCUUACAUGUUCAGACAGUGCUUGGCAGGCAGUGAGUGUUCAAUAAAUAUAUUUUUACUGAGUAAUGUCAACCAGGUUGUAAUGGUUGCAACAGAACUAUCUACAUGGAGACGUGGAAGACACAAGAACACCAAGGUCAAACCCAGAAGUUGUGGUUUGGGGUUGCAAUGAAUGACUGAAGGGUUGCUAUGUAACCUCACAAAAGUCAUGAUUACAGGGUGACAUCAGUGACUUUGUGGCUUUCUGAAUGGAGCAUCCAGGGAGCCGAAGCCCGUAGGUGAGGUCCCUUUGUGGAAGACAACUAAUGACCAACGACUCCUGAUUUUAUAGCUCCAUAGAAAAUGCACAGAAGUUUUUAAUCUCUUCACACGUGAGGAGACAACACUAUCUUAGGUACUGAAGGUGCCUAGUCUGCCAUUGAUAGAAGUUAAGACCUUCGCUGAGGUUUCCUCCAAGAAGGAUAGGGUGGAAUGCUCAUCAGUUCCUUCUGCCCUCCUUCCAGAGUGCUUUCUUCUCUCCUGAGGCUGGAAGGCUAAAGACUACAUUUUCCCAACUCCCUGGAAGCUAGGCUUCUCGAGGGCGUUCAAGAUUGACCAAUCAUGGACACUCACAUAGAUUUGGAAGACAGACAUGGGCUGGGGCUCAUGCUUCUUUUGCUUCAGAGAGCCAACAAGCACGUGAAGGCAUUUGGCCCUUCCAGAGUCUGUUACUUUCAUAGGUGGUGAGAGGCAGAGUGGGAGGCAUUCAUUCAUGUGGGAGCAGGUGUGGUGCGAUCUGGAGCUGGCAGCCGUGGAGGAUUCCGGGUCUCGGCAGUUUUCUGGUCACUGCAGUGCAGUGAGGGUCUGGAGGAGGAAGCCUCCUGGUUGUAGGUGAGGCAGCAGCUCCCUUGAUGGGCCAGUUCUGCGGUGCAUUUCAGGAGUCUUUCCUGACAACGCAACCCAAACCCUGUUUCUUCAGCCCCCACAAUGAUUCUACAAGCCAUUUAAUACCUUGAAAUAAAUCCCUUCUCACCUAAACUAAUUAGAAAGGAUUCUGUUCUCUACCCCUGAACCCCCACAGAUACAGCGUGGCAUGUAAAGAAAAUAGAAUUGAAAUUAAUAUGUCUGAGGAGCUAACCACAGGAAGGGAUGAGUGCA
This is a non-coding RNA of Equus caballus (horse), 5035 nucleotides long. The record is from RefSeq and is a predicted model, not a curated record. NCBI's taxonomy places the organism in Eukaryota, Metazoa, Chordata, Mammalia, Perissodactyla, Equidae.